This 394-nucleotide ribosomal RNA is filed under the name uncultured soil bacterium. RNAcentral's name for it is "bacterial SSU rRNA". It matches the Rfam family "Bacterial small subunit ribosomal RNA", at positions 26 to 428 of the family's 1533-position model. The record is from RNAcentral.
AGAAUCAACGCUGGCGGCGCGCUUAACACAUGCAAGUCGAACGAGAAAGCCGCAAGGUGAGUAAAGUGGCGCACUGGUGAGUAACACGUGGAUAUCUACCUUCUGGUGGGGAAUAACCUGGGGAAACCUGGGCUAAUACCGCAUAAGCUUUAGCGAGGAAAGCCGAAAGGCGCCGGAAGAGGAGUCCGCGGUCGAUUAGCUAGUUGGCAGGGUAAAAGCCUAACCAAGGCGAAGAUCGAUAGCCGGCCUGAGAGGGCACACGGCCACACUGGCACUGAAACACCGGGCCAGACCUCCGUACGGGACGGCAGCGAGGUGGGGAAUCGUUGCACAAGUGGGGAAACCCUGAUGCAGCGACGCCGCGUGAGUGAUGACGUCCCGUUACGGGUAGUAA